ACAUAAGAGGGAGAGCAAUGGGGACGGGCAGGGAUGAAGCUGCGGGCUGAGGUUCCUCCACUCGGCGAAGCCCCUUCUCUCUGCCCCCGCCUGCUCUGGGCUUUCUUGGCUGUGUCUGCUCCUGACAGAAGGGAUGUGUUUUGCCAGGGUUGGGGGCUUGGCGUGUGUGCGUGUGAGAGUAUGUGUGUGUGUUUAAAAUACAAAAAAAAAAGAAGCAUGCCUAUACUCAGCCGCGAGAUGCUGGCCAGCCUCCAUCCGUGCCAACUCCCCUCCGAGCUGGCGCUGGGGACUCCGGAGGCACGGGGAGGAGGAAGGUGCGGGCAGCUUGCGGUGAGGAUGGACGCGUGCCACCGACGUAUGCCAGCGGCUGCAUGGGGCCAAACGCCCAUCCACAAAACCCACCGCGAUCGCUGGCAGCCGUGGCGGGAGGCGGCAGCAGUUGGCAGAGGUGCCAGGGAGGGCCGGCUGGGGCAGGUGGAUCCUGGCAGCGGCAGCACAGGGAUCACGUUCCAGGCCUUUCUCCAAGCCCUCCCCGCGCUGGGACGCAUUUACCCACUUGCCUGUUGACUUCUGCUCAUACCCACUCCUGGGCUGCUCAGAGCUGCUGCUCCCUGUUGAUGAGCACUGUAGGUGGCUCCGAGAUGCACGCCCGGGACCAUCCGUCUUCCUCCCCCGCCUGCCAUUCCCGCACUGACGCACGUAUGCCCUGGGUGCUAGGAGCGAGGUGCGCAUUGCACCUCACAUCCUCAUGGGCGGCUCCAGGAGCCUCACUGCAGCUGAUGAGUAUUUAACAUCAUCAUCUGUGUGGCCGUUGGGACUGGCACAGAUGCUCUGGAUGCCUCUACCUGGAAACCAGGGCUGUUCUCCCUGGAUGGCAGGAAGGGAGCAGGUGGGAGGCAGGAGGAGGUGCUUGUUCCACGGGCACUCCUGGGUUCUGAGGACCAGGCACUUCCCCGCGUGUGUCUUGCUUUGGCCAUAGGUUCUGGGCUUCUGCUUCUCCUCUGUGGGUAUGAGGGCCGCUCUGGCAUUACGUCUUCUAGACCUGCGGUUCCUUCAGAGGUAGGGCCGUGCAGUCAGACGCCUCCAGUGAAUGCUUUUGGGGUUUGGAUGGAUGGACAGAUGGACAAAUUAACAGCAUUCUGCACUUGGAAUGACAAAACUUUAGGCAAGAAAAGGGUCAUUGGAGAAUAUCUAGUCCAACACUCUAAUGGGAUAGAGAGAGAAACUGAGGCCAGCAGAAAGCAUGUCCCCUGACCCAGUCACAGCCCUUGGAUAGAGAGGGAAACUGAGGCCAGCAGAAAGGGUGUCACCUGACCCAGUCACAGCCCUUGGAUAGAGAGGGAAACUGAGGCCAGCAGAAAGGGUGUCACUGGACCCAGUCAGCCCUUGGGUAGAGAGGGAAACUGAGGCCAGCAGAAAGGAUGUCACCAGACCCAGUUGGCCCUUGGCCUAGGACCUGCAGACAGUCCACCUGCUGCUUCUGUGACCCCCACGGCCCAGACUCACACAUCUUCCUCCAGGUCAGGGAGCGAAGGGGUCUGCAGUCCUCUCCAGCUGAGGGCAGGGACAGCCUCUACGUCCUGAGACCCCAGGCCCCUGAUCUACCUGCCAGCCUGCCUGGCAAGGGCACCCCAUCAGGUUGUAUCGUAAGGCCACUGGGCUGGGUCUGACUCACCCACAAUCCAUCAGCCUGCUGGUCUUUACACAUUUCUGGGAGAGGCAAUAAUCUCUGUAGUUGCUAAAACACUUCCUCUUGGUUAUUCUGAGAACUAAAAACACACAUUAUUUGAAAGUCUUGGGUUUAGUCUAAUCUAAAUCCCUCAGGUCGUGACUUAAGCUCUGGCCUCAGAGGUCUCCAUUUAUGCUUGGAUGAGCCACUCCUUUGGGCUUUGUCCCCUCACUGGAAGGCAUGUCCACGAGGAAAUGGGGAGAAGAAUACAGAGCUAUGAACUUGGAAUUUUGGUGUCAGAAGGACCUAGGUUCAAAUUCAGGCUCUAUCACUAGCUAGGGACCUCACUUUCUUCAUCUGUAGACUGACGAUAAUAAUACUACAUACCUCAAAAGAGCUGUGCAGAUUCAAAGUGAUCCUGUGUCUAAACCCUUCUGUAUGACGUCUGGUACCAAGUCAAUGCCCAGAAAACGGG
Molecule: long non-coding RNA, 2144 nt
Filed under: Pongo abelii (Sumatran orangutan)
Lineage: Eukaryota; Metazoa; Chordata; Mammalia; Primates; Hominidae
Description: lincRNA
Source: RNAcentral